Molecule: unclassified non-coding RNA, 327 nt
Filed under: Hevea brasiliensis (rubber tree)
Lineage: Eukaryota; Viridiplantae; Streptophyta; Magnoliopsida; Malpighiales; Euphorbiaceae
Source: RNAcentral
GUCGGAGGUGGCUUAGGACAUACAAGUGCGUAAUACACAGCUCCGAACUGUAUAAGGUCUUCCACAUAUCUUAAUGAUGAAAAACAUUGGUCAAAAUACCACUUAACUGAUCCAAGAUGCCUAUCACUCAACUCAUCGGUGAUCACUCUCAAGGUGUAAAUUAUGAUAUGCAGGAAAAUAACAAAAGAACAACAAAGAAAGAUAGAAAUUUACAAUGGAGGGAGGUCCAAAGCUUUACAAAUAUAUUCUACAACAGGUCCUUCUUUUGUGACGACAAGAUGCUCAACCCUAGGUGGGCUGUUCUGCAAAGGGCAUGGCAUCAAGCGU